Molecule: small nuclear RNA, 308 nt
Filed under: Meleagris gallopavo (turkey)
Lineage: Eukaryota; Metazoa; Chordata; Aves; Galliformes; Phasianidae
Description: 7SK RNA
Rfam family: 7SK RNA
About the family: 7SK was discovered as an abundant small nuclear RNA in the mid-70s but a possible function has only recently been suggested. Two independent studies have found that 7SK RNA binds the CDK9/cyclin T complex (known as elongation factor P-TEFb).
Source: Rfam by way of RNAcentral
AGAUAUGAGGGUGAUCUAUGAGAUCUGUCACCCCAUUGACCACCAGGGGUGAUUUGGCUGAUCUGGCUGUCUAGGCGGGUGUCUCCUUCCUCUCUCACUGCUCCAUAUGCAUCCCUUUCAAAGCUGCAUGCUUGAUUGAAGAUGACCUUCCCUGAUAGAGAUGUACCAUUAAUAGGUAUAUGGUAGCUGCACUCCCCUUCUAGAACCUCCAAACAAGCUUGAGGUCCAUUUGUAGGAGAAUACAGAGUAGACAAGCUUCCAGGACUGUGGACACACCCAUACAAAGCACUGCAUGGGGCAGUGCCUGU